Molecule: ribosomal RNA, 275 nt
Filed under: uncultured bacterium
Lineage: Bacteria
Description: partial 16S ribosomal RNA
Rfam family: Bacterial small subunit ribosomal RNA
Source: RNAcentral
UAUCAAGGUGACAGGUGGUGCAUGGUGNGGGUCAGUUAGUGUCGUGAGAUGUAUGGUUAAGUCCCAUAACGAGCGCAACCNUCAUCCUUAUUUNCUAACAUUUAGUUGAGAACUAUAAGGAAACUGCAGUCGUAAGAUAGAGGAAGGUGGGGAUGACGUCNAAUCAUCAUGCCCCUUAUAUUCAGGGCUACACACGUNNUACANGNNNUGAGACAAAGGGAAGCUAACCCGCGAGGGGGUGCAAAUCUCAUCAAANUCAAUCUCANUUUGGAUNG